CCUACGGGAGGCAGCAGUAGGGAAUCUUCCGCAAUGGACGAAAGUCUGACGGAGCAACGCCGCGUGAACGAUGAAGGCCUUCGGGUCGUAAAGUUCUGUUGUUAGGGAAGAACAAGUGCUAGUUGAAUAAGCUGGCACCUUGACGGUACCUAACCAGAAAGCCACGGCUAACUACGUGCCAGCAGCCGCGGUAAUACGUAGGUGGCAAGCGUUGUCCGGAAUUAUUGGGCGUAAAGCGCGCGCAGGCGGUUUCUUAAGUCUGAUGUGAAAGCCCCCGGCUCAACCGGGGAGGGUCAUUGGAAACUGGGAAACUUGAGUGCAGAAGAGGAAAGUGGAAUUCCAAGUGUAGCGGUGAAAUGCGUAGAGAUUUGGAGGAACACCAGUGGCGAAGGCGACUUUCUGGUCUGUAACUGACGCUGAGGCGCGAAAGCGUGGGGAGCAAACAGGAUUAGAUACCCUGGUAGUCCACGCUGUAAACGAUGAGUGCUAAGUGUUAGAGGGUUUCCGCCUUUAGUGCUGAAGUUAACGCAUUAAGCACUCCGCCUGGGGAGUACGGUCGCAAGACUGAAACUNAAAUUGAAUUGACGG
RNAcentral lists this ribosomal RNA (588 nucleotides) under uncultured bacterium. RNAcentral describes it as "bacterial SSU rRNA". It matches the Rfam family "Bacterial small subunit ribosomal RNA", at positions 338 to 916 of the family's 1533-position model. The record is from RNAcentral.